AGGAUAAACGCUGGCGGCGUGCAUGAGACAUGCAAGUCGAACGGACACUUGGGGCUUGCUCCAAGUGUUAGUGGCGGACGGCUGAGUAACGCGUAGGUGACCUGCCCCGAAGUGGGGAAUAACUGCCCGAAAGGGUGGCUAAUACCGCAUGUGGUGGUGUGUUCAUUCACACCAGUAAAGCCGCAAGGCGCUUCGGGAGGGGCCUGCGUCCGAUUAGCUCGUUGGUGGGGUAACGGCUCACCAAGGCGACGAUCGGUAGGUGGUCUGAGAGGACGAUCACCCAGACUGGGACUGAGACACGGCCCAGACUCCUACGGGAGGCAGCAGUCGGGAAUUUUGCGCAAUGGACGAAAGUCUGACGCAGCAACGCCGCGUGAGGAUGAAGGCCUUCGGUUGUAACCUCUUUAUCAGGGAAGAUAAUGACGGUACCUGAUGAAUAAGUCACGGCUAACUACGUGCCAGCAGCCGC
Molecule: ribosomal RNA, 469 nt
Filed under: uncultured bacterium
Lineage: Bacteria
Description: SSU rRNA
Rfam family: Bacterial small subunit ribosomal RNA
Source: RNAcentral